UGGAGUAUAGCCAAGUGGUAAGGCACCCGUUUUUGGUACGGGUACUCAAAGGUUCGAAUCCUUUUACUCCAG
This 72-nucleotide transfer RNA is filed under the name Vischeria stellata. RNAcentral's name for it is "tRNA-Gln". It matches the Rfam family "tRNA". From Rfam's summary of the family: Transfer RNA (tRNA) molecules are approximately 80 nucleotides in length. Their secondary structure includes four short double-helical elements and three loops (D, anti-codon, and T loops). Lineage: Eukaryota; Eustigmatophyceae; Eustigmatales; Chlorobotryaceae. The record is from RNAcentral.